UGUGCUGUGAUUUUGUGUGCU
Molecule: non-coding RNA, 21 nt
Organism: Caenorhabditis elegans
Lineage: Eukaryota; Metazoa; Nematoda; Chromadorea; Rhabditida; Rhabditidae
Source: Ensembl